Molecule: ribosomal RNA, 468 nt
Filed under: uncultured bacterium
Lineage: Bacteria
Description: partial 16S ribosomal RNA
Rfam family: Bacterial small subunit ribosomal RNA
Source: RNAcentral
GACGAACGCUGGCGGCGUGCUUAACACAUGCAAGUCGAACGGAAAGGCCCUGCUUUUGUGGGGUGCUCGAUUGGCGAACGGGUGAGUAACACGUGAGUAACCUGCCCUUGACUUUGGGAUAACUUCAGGAAACUGGGGCUAAUACCGGAUAGGAGCUCCUGCUGCAUGGGGGGGGUUGGAAAGUUUCGGCGGUGGGGGCUGGACUCGCGGCUUAUCAGCUUGUUGGUGGGGUAGUGGCUUACCAAGGCUUUGACGGGUAGCCGGCCUGGGAGGGUGACCGGCCACAUUGGGACUGAGAGACGGCCCAGACGCCUACGGGACGCAGCAGUGGGGAAUAUGGCACAAUGGGCGGAAGCCUGAUGCAGCAACGCCGCGUGCGGAAUGACGGCCUUCGGGUUGUAAACCGCUUUCGCCUGUGACGAAGCGUGAGUGACGGUAAUGGGUAAAGAAGCACCGGCUAACUACGUG